AUGAAUCCUUAAUUUAUCUAAAAGUAAGAUAUAUAAAUAUCAGUGAAUUAGGUUAUAAACCCCAAGUUUGAAAUUUUCAUCUCUUCCUUCAACGCAAAAACACACACAUCAAUCAUCAUGUCUUCACUCCUCUUCCUCUCAUCAUCAUUAGUAUCUCACUUUCAUUAUCACCACUGCAUCUUUUACAUCCCACCAACCGCACCAAACCCAUCAUUCUCUAACCUAAUAGAAACCAAAACAAGAUCAAUAAACAAGAAGAAGGAAUCAAUAGAGAAAGGUUAGAAGACUUAGAAGAUGUCUUCUCUGAAGAAGAAGAAACCCUACCUUGAUUCAGUUCAAGGCUCAUCUUCUUCUUUAUAGCUUCUCAUCUCGGGGAAUUGAAGCUUUAUGGUCCGAAUCUAAUUGUUUGUUAGAUCAAGCAAAUUUACCUAUAUACUAUAGUCUAUAAUUCUAUUAUAUCAUCCUGCACCUUUCUCUAUAUAUAUAUGGGUUAUUUUUCAUCUUUCUCAGCUUUGGUUUGAUUAAAUUAAGUGAUUAAAAAUUAUAUAUGGACUUGAUAUUCUAUACAUAUAGAUAGAGUGG
Molecule: long non-coding RNA, 582 nt
Filed under: Lupinus angustifolius (narrow-leaved blue lupine)
Lineage: Eukaryota; Viridiplantae; Streptophyta; Magnoliopsida; Fabales; Fabaceae
Description: long non-coding RNA (LANG_LNC002695)
Source: RNAcentral